CCUACGGGUGGCAGCAGUGGGGAAUAUUGCACAAUGGGGGAAACCCUGAUGCAGCGACGCCGCGUGAAGGAAGAAGUAUUUCGGUAUGUAAACUUCUAUCAGCAGGGAAGAAAAUGACGGUACCUGACUAAGAAGCCACGGCCAACUACGUGCCAGCAGCCCCGGUAAUACGUAGGGGGCAAGCGUUAUCCGGAGUUACCGGGUGUAAAGGGAUCGUAGGCGGUUUAGCAAGUCAGAAGUGAAAGCCCGGGGCUCAACUCCGGGAUUGCAUUUGAAACUGUUGAACUAGAGUGCAGGAGAGGUAUGUGGAAUUCGUGGUGUAGCGGUGAAAUGCGUAGAUAUUAGGAAGAACACCAGUGGCGAAGGCGGCUUACUGGACUGUAAAUGACGCUGAGGCUCGAAAGCGUGGGGAGCAAACAGGAUUAGAUACCCGGGUAGUC
Molecule: ribosomal RNA, 440 nt
Filed under: uncultured bacterium
Lineage: Bacteria
Description: partial 16S ribosomal RNA
Rfam family: Bacterial small subunit ribosomal RNA
Source: RNAcentral